This 858-nucleotide ribosomal RNA is filed under the name uncultured bacterium. Its description in RNAcentral is "bacterial SSU rRNA". It matches the Rfam family "Bacterial small subunit ribosomal RNA", at positions 28 to 896 of the family's 1533-position model. The record is from RNAcentral.
AAUCAACGCUGGCGGCGUGCCUCAGACAUGCAAGUCGAACGAUUAAACUUUCCUUCGGGAAAGAUAUAAAGUGGCGCACGGGUGAGUAACACGUAAGUAAUCUACCUUCGAGUGGGGAAUAACGUCCGGAAACGGGCGCUAAUACCGCAUAAUGCAGCGGCAUCGCAAGAUGACAGUUGUUAAAGGAGCAAUCCGCUUGAAGAGGAGCUUGCGGCAGAUUAGCUAGUUGGUAAGGUAACGGCUUACCAAGGCUACGAUCUGUAUCCGGCCUGAGAGGGCGGUCGGACACACUGACACUGAAUAACGGGUCAGACUCCUACGGGAGGCAGCAGUCGGGAAUUUUGGGCAAUGGGCGAAAGCCUGACCCAGCAACGCCGCGUGAGGGAUGAAGUAUUUCGGUAUGUAAACCUCGAAAGAAUAGGAAGAAUAAAUGACGGUACUAUUUAUAAGCUCCGGCUAACUACGUGCCAGCAGCCGCGGUAAUACGUAGGGAGCAAGCGUUGUUCGGAUUUACUGGGCGUAAAGGGCGCGUAGGCGGCCUGACAGGUCACUUGUGAAAUCUCCGAGCUUAACUCGGAACGGUCAAGUGAAACCAAUAGGCUAGAGUGCAGAAGGGGCAAUCGGAAUUCUUGGUGUAGCGGUGAAAUGCGUAGAUAUCAAGAGGAACACCUGAGGUGAAGACGGGUUGCUGGGCUGACACUGACGCUGAGGCGCGAAAGCCAGGGGAGCAAACGGGAUUAGAUACCCCGGUAGUCCUGGCCCUAAACGAUGAAUACUUGGUGUCUGGAAUUAUUAUUGUUCCGGGUGCCGUCGCUAACGUUUUAAGUAUUCCGCCUGGGGAGUACGCACGCAAGUGUG